This 336-nucleotide ribosomal RNA is filed under the name uncultured Anaerolineaceae bacterium. RNAcentral describes it as "bacterial SSU rRNA". It matches the Rfam family "Bacterial small subunit ribosomal RNA", at positions 1031 to 1382 of the family's 1533-position model. Lineage: Bacteria; Bacillati; Chloroflexota; Anaerolineae; Anaerolineales; Anaerolineaceae. The record is from RNAcentral.
UAUACAGGUGUUGCAUGGCUGUCGUCAGCUCGUGUCGUGAGAUGUUCGGUUAAGUCCGCUAACGAGCGCAACCCUCGUCGUAUGUUAUAUGUGUCAUACGAGACUGCCGGUAAAAGCCGGAGGAAGGUGAGGAUGAUGUCAAGUCAGCAUGACCUUUAUAUCCAGGGCUACACACACGCUACAAUGGUCUGUACAAUGGGUAGCCAAGCCGCGAGGCGGAGCCAAUCCUGAAAGCAGGCCUCAGUUCAGAUUGCAGUCUGCAACUCGACUGCAUGAAGCCGGAGUUGCUAGUAACCGCAGGUCAGCAAUACUGCGGUGAAUACGUUCCCGGGUCUU